Molecule: unclassified non-coding RNA, 378 nt
Filed under: plant metagenome
Description: partial contains 5.8S ribosomal RNA, internal transcribed spacer 2, and large subunit ribosomal RNA
Rfam family: 5.8S ribosomal RNA (bases 1-105)
Source: RNAcentral
GAAAUGCGAUAAGUAAUGUGAAUUGCGGAAUUCAGUGAAUCAUCGAAUCUUUGAACGCACCUUGCGCUCCUUGGUAUUCCUUGGAGCAUGCCUGUUUGAGUAUCAUGAAAUCUUCAAAGUAAAUCUUUUGUUAACUCAAUUGGUUUCUACUUUGGUAUUGGAGGUCUUUGCAGCUUCACACCUGCUCCUCUUUGUUCAUUAGCUGGAUCUCAGUGUUAUGCUUGUUUCCACUCGGCGUGAUAAGUUAUCUAUCGCUGAGGACACUGUAAAAGGUGGCCAAGGUAAAUGCAGAUGAACCGCUUCUAAUAGUCCAUUGACUUGGACAAUACUUUUAUGAUCUGAUCUCAAAUCAGGUAGGACUACCCGCUGAACUUAAGC